UCAAUGCUAUACAAUUGUCGGUUAACUG
Molecule: small RNA, 28 nt
Filed under: Bombyx mori (domestic silkworm)
Lineage: Eukaryota; Metazoa; Arthropoda; Insecta; Lepidoptera; Bombycidae
Description: ovarian small RNA-24878
Source: RNAcentral